AGUGGGAUAGCUGGGUCAAAUGGUGGUUCCAUUCCAAGUUUUCAAGGGAAUCUCUGUACUGCUUUCCAUCUUGGUUGCACCAAUUUGCAAUCCCACCAGCAAU
RNAcentral lists this microRNA precursor (103 nucleotides) under Marmota monax (woodchuck). The record is from RNAcentral. Lineage: Eukaryota; Metazoa; Chordata; Mammalia; Rodentia; Sciuridae.